UUUUGAUAUUCUAUUCAGAAUUCAGAUGAAAAGGGAAUCGGGUGUAAAUCCCGGACAGACCACGCUGCUGUAAAACUUCGUAAACAUCGGGCAUUACCUUUAGCCACUAUUCUUCGCCGAAGGAUGGGAAGGCGCCACGAGCCGGGAGUAAGUCAGAAGACCUGCCAUUUUAUGU
Molecule: non-coding RNA, 175 nt
Filed under: uncultured Parabacteroides sp.
Lineage: Bacteria; Pseudomonadati; Bacteroidota; Bacteroidia; Bacteroidales; Tannerellaceae
Source: RNAcentral